UUGUAGUAAUACAAGGCAGACGGCUCAGUAACACGUAGUCAACCUACCCUAUGGACAAGAAUAAUCUCGGGAAACUGGGCAUAAUUCUUGAUAGAUCAUAAUGCCUGGAAUGGUUUAUGGUUAAAAUGAUUCGUCGCCAUAGGAUGGGACUGCGGCCUAUCAGCUUGUUGGUGAGGUAAUGGCCCACCAAGGCGAUUACAGGUACGGGCUCUGAGAGGAGAAGCCCGGAGAUGGGUACUGAGACACGGACCCAGGCCCUAUGGGGCGCAGCAGGCGAGAAAACUUUGCAAUGUGCGAAAGCACGACAAGGUUAAUCCGAGUGAUUUCUGCUAAAGAAAUCUUUUGCCAGUCAUAAAACCACUGGUGAAUAAGGGGUGGGCAAGUUCUGGUGUCAGCCGCCGCGGUAAAACCAGCACCUCAAGUGGUCAGGAUGAUUAUUGGGCCUAAAGCAUCCGUAGCCGGCUUUGUAAGUUUUCGGUUAAAUCCAUGUGCUCAACGCAUGGGCUGCCGAAAAUACUGCAUGGCUAGGGAGUGGGAGAGGUAGACGGUACUCAGUAGGAAGGGGUAAAAUCCUUUGAUCUAUUGAUGACCACCUGUGGCGAAGGCGGUCUACCAGAACACGUUCGACGGUGAGGGAUGAAAGCUGGGGGAACAAACCGGAUUAGAUACCCGGGUAGUCCCAGCUGUAAACGAUGCAGACUAGAUGAUGCAUUGGCAUAAUAGCCAUUGCAGUGUCUCAGGGAAGCCGUUAAGUCUGCCGCCUGGGAAGUACGUACGCAAGUAUGAAACUUAAAGGAAUUGGCGGGGGAGCACCACAAGGGGUGAAGCCUGCGGUUCAA
Molecule: ribosomal RNA, 839 nt
Filed under: uncultured marine group I thaumarchaeote
Lineage: Archaea; Thermoproteati; Nitrososphaerota
Description: SSU rRNA
Rfam family: Archaeal small subunit ribosomal RNA
Source: RNAcentral